Molecule: small RNA, 162 nt
Filed under: Clostridium chauvoei
Lineage: Bacteria; Bacillati; Bacillota; Clostridia; Eubacteriales; Clostridiaceae
Also listed under: 1 other name
Description: Magnesium sequence
Rfam family: M-box riboswitch aptamer (ykoK leader)
About the family: M-box riboswitch, also know as ykoK leader is described as a metaloregulatory RNA that sense divalent metals and function as a genetic control element of genes related to divalent metal transport in bacteria.
Source: RNAcentral
UAUAGAAUUUGUUAGGUGAGGCUCCUAUAAAGAAAUACGUUGCUACCCAGAAAAAUCUAGAGAUUCCAAUGGGUUAACAGAAAUCAUCGCGAAGGUGAUUUUUAAUGUAACUGACGAUUGUCUACGCUCUAUAGUGCUAAAGCUCUACGAAAUAGAAGGAUU